This is a non-coding RNA of Arachis ipaensis, 599 nucleotides long. Lineage: Eukaryota; Viridiplantae; Streptophyta; Magnoliopsida; Fabales; Fabaceae. The record is from RefSeq and is a predicted model, not a curated record.
CUCAUCCAUUAGCUUCUCCUAAUUCCCUGGUUCAUCGUGCAAGAGAGAGCUCUCCAUAGUCAUUGUCGCAGAACACAUCCCGAUACAAUCUCCCAUGUUCUUUGGAUCUGGAAUGAAUGAAGAUGCUGCUGCGCUCUUCGGUCAGAUCUUUCCGCUGGCUGCGUCCUCAAAGAAGCCCACCGCAAAGGGUUGUGAGGAACGGGCUCUACACGCAACCUUUUCUACGAUCUUAAAAAAAUGGGAUUUUAAUCAUUUUGAAAAUUAACUAGUUGUAUGUUUUCAAUCCGAAAAAUGAUGACUCCGACAUCGAAUUACAACAUCAAAGCGGCACAAGAAGAAACUAUCAGGGACGAAGAAGAAUGACGCAGUUGUCCAUCGAUUGGAGUAUGAUUGGAAGGAAAAGAUUAAGGAAUACAUAGAUGACGAUGAUGAUCUCUUUCAGAUUAGAAUUGAGAAAGCAGGGUUCAUCUGCUGCUGAUGAUCAUUGUCAUCACAGACACGGGAAGGAUAGAAAGACAAUAAAACAAUAUUAAAAAGAGUAAAAAAAUGAAAAACAUUAAUUAUUAAAAGCUCAACUAGGCAUAAAGGCCUAAAUGAUA